Molecule: long non-coding RNA, 2702 nt
Organism: Echinops telfairi (small Madagascar hedgehog)
Lineage: Eukaryota; Metazoa; Chordata; Mammalia; Afrosoricida; Tenrecidae
Exons: 4
Source: RefSeq, a predicted model, not a curated record
CACACACACACACACACACACACACACACACACCUUCUACUCUUGCCCUCCACACCUUAAGAUGGAGAAUGAAGGGGAAAAGAGGGAGACAGAGACACAGGCAGAGACAGCUUCCCAGUGAGAAAAGAAUACAGAGACAUGCAAGAAAGAACCAUGAGACAGAAUCGGAGAGCAGAGACUGAGAAACAGGACAGAGACCACCGAGAAGUCCCAGAGGGAGAGGAAGAGGGGCUUCUGAGCAGCGAAUUGCUGAUACACAUUUGAACAAACUGGAGUGCCCUGCCGGCGGCCUCACAUUCUGUCUGUGGAUGGAGGGGGAGAAGCAAGGUGAUGCCUAAUUUGCAGUCAGAGGAAAGGAUAGAGACUCUUAACUUGUGGUGCCAAAACCCUUACUGGAAAAUGGGGGCCUUCAUCAACAUAGAGGGAAAGUCUUUAAGAGUCUGAGGACAAACUUUGCAGUUCAAGCUACAGCAUGACCUUCCCGUGGAGUUUCACUCGGAGACGCCGGGACAAUCAAGAAGAUCAUUGUGGCAGAACAUGGAGACGAGUGAGGUCGAAGUUGUAGAGGGCGCGGCAGAGUGGCGGCGGCUGGGGCAGUUGCUUGAUGACUUGCACAGAGUUUACUGGGAAGAUGCCACUGACUCCGUUGAUCUCCCCCUGGUACCAGUUCUCGUCCAGCUGUCUCCGCAGGAGGACGACAUCUCCCUUGUUAAACCUCAGGUCGCCGGGACUCUGCCCUCGGUAGUUGCACAAGGCUUUUGCUCGAGGCACCUGGAGUGGCACAGACCAAUGACACACGCACUCUGAGAGGUCAUUGGCAUCGCUAACGCUGCUGCAAGUCAGAAUGGACUUAAUGGCAGGGAGUUGCUGCUGUUUUUUCCUGUGUAAGUUUGGUAUGUGAAUGGUCUCAUUUACUGUACGUAGUCCUCUAAAAUAGCCACUGCUAUUAUCUCUGAUUAUCAGAUACAGUAAGCGAGGUAAGAGUGGUUCAACGACUUGCCUAAAGUGACACAGCUGGAAAAUGGCAGCUCCAGGGCCUGAACCCGUGCUAGCUGAUUCUAGGCUUUCGUUCUUAUCACUAUGCCCGUAGCAAGCUUUGGAUGUCAUAACUACGUGAACUUGAGUGAGCCAUUGAUGCCUUUUUGAUCUGACUCCUGGCUCCAUCUCUGUCCACAGUGUGACUAUGCUGGAAUUAUUUAAUCUUCCUCAUGCUGUAAUCCCUUCAUUUAUAAAAUGGGCUGAGGAUAGUGGUACUAAGGUUGUUGCGAAGAAGUUUAUUGUUGGUGUGUCCUAGUCCACUGUGGAAGCCAUGUCCUACUUCUGAGUGCCUUCUAACCUAUGGGGCUCAUCUUCUGGCUCUAUAUUAGACACUCUUCUGUUGUGAUCCAUAGGAUUCUUCUGGCUAGUGUUCAGCAGUUGUUAGUCACACUCCCCCCACCCCCCCAACCACCAGUCUCUCUUAGUCUGGGAGCUGAAAUCUAUCUACUCUGGGUGACCCUACUAAUAUUUGAAACAUUGAUGGCAUAGUUUCCAGCAUCAAAGCAACACAAAGCUACUAAAAUAUGUCAAAUGUUCCGAUAGGUAGUGGAUUCUUAUUCAUAUGGAGAACUACUUGUGGCUCAAUAAUUAUGUACUCAACUGCUAACUAAAAUAUCAGUGGUUCAAUCCCACCAGCAACUCCAAGGAAGAAAAGACUUGGCAGUUUGCUUCCAUAGAGAUUACAGCCUAGGAAACCCGAUGAGGAAAUUCUACUCUGUUCUCUGGGGUUUCUCUGAGUCUGGGCUGACCUGAUGGCGUAUGACAACAAUAACAAUGAUAUCCAUUGUUGCCUACUCCUCAGUGUUGAUGGGAAACAAAUUGAGAUGAGAACUGUCAGAAAAUAGAGAUUAUUAUAUGAGAGUGCUGUAGUAUAAUCUGUCUUCAGCUUUCUCUAGAAAGUGUAAAUAUCACAAGGAAUUGGAUCAUUAGGAAGUUCAAAUGAGACAAAGAAACAAUUAGUAAUCAGUCAAUUAAAAAAAUCAUUUGUCAAAUCAUUUGUCUAAACUUCAAUCAAGUAUAUUUCUUUUUUCCUAUUUGUGACUGAUUUUUAUCCAUGCAGAAAUGGCCUCACUUUGGUCUUGUUCUGAGUCAAUUUGGCAAAUUGGAAGUUCAAACAACUUAGGUUUAAUACCAACCCUUCAAGGUCAUGUGGGAUAGUAUUUUGUUUGGUGUUUUUCUCGACAUUGGUACAAAAUAGUCCCGUCAGGGUGACCGUGUUGCUAUUUGUAAUGGAGUGCAGGGAGACAUUGAUUCAGCUCUCUGAGUACUUUCCAAGUCUACAAUGUUCAUUUAAAAAGCAACUGACUGGAGAUAGAGACAAGAUCUGUCCACCACUUUGCUGAUGGGACGGUGGAGUGAAACUUCUCUGCUGCUCCCUACAUAUAGCAAGGGAGCCCAGUGACUAGACAACCACAGGAACACAGCAUGUCCUUGGGAAACUCAUUACCAAGUGGUCAGAGACAUGUGUACUAGAAGGUUUAUCACUGUGUUCUGAAUAAAAAAUAGUGAAUUGGUUGAAUCAAUUUGGAUACACCCAUAUAAUGGAAAGCUAUACAGUCAUUAAAAUCAAUGAUACUGACUAUAAUUAAUAUCAUUGAGUUGCUGACAAUACACUGUUGUAAUAGAAGCUAUUAAAAGCAAUGAUGUAAACCAUGCUUUCAUUA